Molecule: ribosomal RNA, 555 nt
Filed under: uncultured Glomus
Lineage: Eukaryota; Fungi; Glomeromycota; Glomeromycetes; Glomerales; Glomeraceae
Description: SSU rRNA
Rfam family: Eukaryotic small subunit ribosomal RNA
Source: RNAcentral
UUGGAGGGCAAGUCUGGUGCCAGCAGCCGCGGUAAUUCCAGCUCCAAUAGCGUAUAUUAAAGUUGUUGCAGUUAAAAAGCUCGUAGUUGAAUUUCGGGAUUGGCGUGUCGGUCGUGCCUUACGGGGUAUGAACUGGCGUCGUCGAUUUCUCACCUUCUGGAGAAUCACGAUGCCCUUAAUUGGGUGUCGUGUGGAACCAGGACCUUUACCUUGAAAAAAUUAGAGUGUUUAAAGCAGGCAUUUUGCUCGAAUACAUUAGCAUGGAAUAAUAAAAUAGGACGGCUUGGUUCUAUUUUGUUGGUUUCUAGGAUCACCGUAAUGAUUAAUAGGGAUAGUUGGGGGCAUUAGUAUCCAAUUGUCAGAGGUGAAAUUCUUGGAUUUAUUGAAGACUAACUACUGCGAAAGCAUUUGCCAAGGAUGUUUUCAUUAAUCAAGAACGAAAGUUAGGGGAUCGAAGACGAUCAGAUACCGUCGUAGUCUUAACCAUAAACUAUGCCGACUAGGAAUCAGACGAUGUUAAUUUUUUAAUGACUCGUUUGGCACCUUACGGGAAAC